Molecule: non-coding RNA, 103 nt
Filed under: Pseudothermotoga lettingae
Lineage: Bacteria; Thermotogati; Thermotogota; Thermotogae; Thermotogales; Thermotogaceae
Also listed under: 1 other name
Description: Thermotoga lettingae Guanine sequence
Rfam family: Purine riboswitch aptamer
About the family: Riboswitches are metabolite binding domains within certain messenger RNAs that serve as precision sensors for their corresponding targets. Allosteric rearrangement of mRNA structure is mediated by ligand binding, and this results in modulation of gene expression. A class of riboswitches that selectively recognises guanine and becomes saturated at concentrations as low as 5 nM.
Source: RNAcentral
CCCUCCCACGGGGAAUGCCCUUGUAUAAUUCCGAGAAUAGGGCUCGGAAGUCUCUACCGGACAGCCGUAAACUGUCCUGGCUACAAGGGCCUUAUCUUUUAUC